UUUAGAGUUAAUUUUAUUUUAACUAAAUAUUAUCUCAAUGAACAUUUAAAAUAUAUAAAAAAAUAUAACUUAGCUAUAGUUUUGGUCAAAAAAUGUAUUUUCAAUUAUUAAUGCUAGAAUUGCAUGGAAAAUCUGUAACUAUAUACCGAAUAAUUAUGUUCAUCCAGCAAGUAAAACUUUAAAGUAUUAUUUAAAAUGUAAUAAAAUCUCACCGAAAAAGAAUAAAUUUAGUGGUAAUUAAAAUAGUCUAUCCUUAUGAAUAUAUAAGGAGUUUGAUAAUAAGAUCCAAACCACAACCGCUCGAGCAGCGAGAAGAUCUAUCGGCUUCCUCUCUUGUACUAGUUAUCUUUAAGCGCUACAUCCAUGGACGAAUAAAAGUACUUAGACUUCAUACAAUAACAAAAUCAUCGAUAAACUAGGUAGUAGUAGCAACACAAACAACGCGAUGCAUGUAUCACUUAUCCUAGUAUUACCAUGACAUCCAAACUAGCCAGAUGCCAUAGUUAGUCUAAUACGAGUAUUUUAUUUUUCAUGAAGACACCCCCACUAGUAUUUUGGUUGGUUUCAAAGUGCGAAGGACACCUCUUGUGAUAUUAUUUUUCCUUGACCCACCAUCCCUUAUUUUGGAAGGCUAUCUCUGAUAACGAUGAUAGUUUGCUUGAACUAAAAAAUACAAUCUCCAAUCCUAGCGGUUUCUGAAACGACAGAUACCGUUUGUUUCGCCCAUGAUGUUUCCUAUAAAGGAUGCUUUUCUAUACACCCCUUCAUAGAAUUAGAAUCUUCUAAACUGGAGCGAUUAGAAACCGAGACACGACCGCAUGAACCAACCAAAUGACGUAUUACGUAAAGUAUUAAGAAACUUCGCUUCCCGAUAUGAGAAACCGAAUGCAGAACCUAGGCAGAACCAAACAUUUCUUCUCAUUUGUUCCCAU
This 932-nucleotide long non-coding RNA is filed under the name Hordeum vulgare. RNAcentral's name for it is "long non-coding RNA (HVUL_LNC010732)". Lineage: Eukaryota; Viridiplantae; Streptophyta; Magnoliopsida; Poales; Poaceae. The record is from RNAcentral.